GAGCAAUUCCUACUUCACAGAGCGCUGGAGAAGAUGAAGGGCGUUCAUUUCACGUAGCCGACUUCCAGCAGUGCUGGGCAUAAGGGAACAUUCAAUAUAGAUGAAGAACCGGAGGCUAGAGACAAGUCACUCGCCCAAGUCUGCCAGCCAGCCCGUGGUGAAUGAUGCCAGAAUUGGGACCCAAGCCCAACUAGGGAAAUGAUGUUACACGAAAAGCAAAUUCGAGCGAUUUUCUUAUUCGAGUUCAAAAUGGGUCAUAAAGCAGCAGAGACAACUCACAACAACAACAACGCAUUUGACCCAGGAACUGCUAAUAAAUGUAUGGUGCAGUGGUGGUUCAAGAAGUUUC
Molecule: long non-coding RNA, 349 nt
Organism: Cervus elaphus (red deer)
Lineage: Eukaryota; Metazoa; Chordata; Mammalia; Artiodactyla; Cervidae
Exons: 3
Source: RefSeq, a predicted model, not a curated record